RNAcentral lists this unclassified non-coding RNA (364 nucleotides) under uncultured bacterium. RNAcentral describes it as "contains 16S-23S intergenic spacer region". The record is from RNAcentral.
UCCGGCUUAAACGCCGGCAGUUUCGUUUGACACUUGUAACAAACGAUAGGGGUUGCGCUCGUUUUCACACUUAAGUGAACACCUCACGGCACGAGCUGACGACAACCGUGCAGCACCUGUGUAGCACCCUCGAAGGCUAUCUCAUCUCUGAGAUAUGCAGCUACAUGUCAAGCCUUGGUAAGGUUCCCCGCUUACCAUCGAAUUAAACCGCAUGCUCCACCGCUUGUGCGGGUCCCCGUCAAUUCCUUUGAGUUUUAGCCUUGCGGCCGUACUCCCCAGGCGGUACAUUUAACGCGUUAGCUUUGGCACUAAAGAGGGUCGAUACUCUCUAGCACCUAAUGUACAUCGUUUACAGCGUGGACUA